Long non-coding RNA from Anguilla anguilla (European eel), 969 nucleotides. RefSeq lists it as uncharacterized. The transcript is spliced from 3 exons. NCBI's taxonomy places the organism in Eukaryota, Metazoa, Chordata, Actinopteri, Anguilliformes, Anguillidae. The record is from RefSeq and is a predicted model, not a curated record.
UUUAGCGGUUCGUCUGAAGCGCUGAACUAUGGGGGUUGUCUAGCAGUUUCGCAAGACUCAGUGAAGGAGAACAGUUCUGUUACAUAUGUACAUGUAAAAUUAGCAAACUGGGUUACGUUGGACGGAAUGCGCACGGGCUAUCCGAUCACUGUUGUAAUACCAUCUAAAAGGUUGACUACCCAUCUCCAAGCAGGCGGCUACAGCGAACCCAACAGAGGUUACAAAGGAAUCCGCGCGCAGGAAGUUUGCCGCGUGCAAGCUUCAGACGCCGCUUUGCCUGACAGUUUCAUGACGUCUUGGAGUGGGUGGGAAUGAGAAACGACAUACCCCAGGCACUGCAUGAUAAUUCGAGAGAGCAACUGGAGAUGAGCUAUGACCUCUGUGAUUAAUGGAACAUGCCCAUUGGUUUUUGAAGAAAGAAACGCGUGCAACAGGACAGAUCUGAUCACGGGUAACAGCAGGUUGGGGACUGGAAACGUUGUGCACUGCUGUUGCUGAGUGUUCAGAAAAGAGCAUGUGUAUUCUCAGGAGGAAAAAAAGCAUACCUGUAAUUCAGAAGGGAUUCUGCCAAGUCAGACCAAAUGAAGCCCAGAGUUUCAUUUGAAACAAGUAGACUAGUGGGACUGAAGCUAACUGCAAAGACCACACAUUACAGCCUAUUAACCCAUCAGUUCUAUUGGUACUGUAACUAAAAAUUAGACAUGGUGUGCUACUGAACACGCUUUCAUUUAAUUGGAUGCCUAUUAAUAGUCAUUUUUAUAGUAAGUGAACCACAGUACAUUGGCUCACCCAGAAAUUAGUACAGUGUUGCGUAUCUUACAUCAAUUGGUAUAUAAGGAAGCCUUUUCAUAAGCAUGUAAUGCCUGCAGACAGUCAUCCUGAAAUGACACCAUAUUACAUUGUUCAGUGAAUUACACUGUUUUUGGUACGUCGUUUCUGCCAUCAAAUACAUUGAAACUAUACACAUUG